This 375-nucleotide ribosomal RNA is filed under the name uncultured bacterium. RNAcentral describes it as "bacterial SSU rRNA". It matches the Rfam family "Bacterial small subunit ribosomal RNA", at positions 521 to 896 of the family's 1533-position model. The record is from RNAcentral.
UAAUACAGAGGGUGCGAGCGUUAAUCGGAAUUACUGGGCGUAAAGGGCGCGUAGGCGGUCAAGAGAGUGUGAUGUGAAAGCCCCGGGCUUAACCUGGGAAGCGCAUCGCAAACGCCUUGACUGGAGUAGAUGAGAGGGUGGCGGAAUUUCCGGUGUAGCGGUGAAAUGCGUAGAGAUCGGAAGGAACGUCAAUGGCGAAGGCAGCCACCUGGCAUCAUACUGACGCUGAGGCGCGAAAGCGUGGGGAGCGAACAGGAUUAGAUACCCUGGUAGUCCACGCUGUAAACGAUGAGAACUAGAUGUGGAUUGGGGAACCAAGCCGUAUCGAAGCAAACGCGAUAAGUUCUCCGCCUGGGAAGUACGGCCGCAAGGUUG